AUUUGCACAUGGGCGAAAGCCUGAUGCAGCGACGCCGCGUGAGGGAUGACGGCCUUCGGGUUGUAAACCUCUUUCAGUAGGGAAGAAGCGAAAGUGACGGUACCUGCAGAAGAAGCGCCGGCUAACUACGUGCCAGCAGCCGCGGUAAUACGUAGGGCGCAAGCGUUAUCCGGAUUUAUUGGGCGUAAAGAGCUCGUAGGCGGUUUGUCGCGUCUGCCGUGAAAGUCCGAGGCUCAACCUCGGAUCUGCGGUGGGUACGGGCAGACUAGAGUGAUGUAGGGGAGACUGGAAUUCCUGGUGUAGCGGUGAAAUGCGCAGAUAUCAGGAGGAACACCGAUGGCGAAGGCAGGUCUCUGGGCAUCUACUGACGCUGAGGAGCGAAAGCAUGGGGAGCGAACAGGAUUAGAUACCCUGGUAGUCCAUGCCGUAAACGUUGGGCACUAGGUGUGGGGAACAUUCCACGUUUUCCGCGCCGUAGCUAACGCAUUAAGUGCCCCGCCUGGGGAGUACGGCCGCAAGGCUAAAACUCAAAGGAAUUGACGGGGGCCCGCACAAGCGGCGGAGCAUGCGGAUUAAUUCGAUGCAACGCGAAGAACCUUACCAAGGCUUGACAUGUUCCAGACCGCCUCAGAGAUGGGGUUUCCCUUCGGGGCUGGUUCACAGGUGGUGCAUGGUUGUCGUCAGCUCGUGUCGUGAGAUGUUGGGUUAAGUCCCGCAACGAGCGCAACCCUCGUUCCAUGUUGCCC
The sequence is a ribosomal RNA, 746 nucleotides long. It matches the Rfam family "Bacterial small subunit ribosomal RNA", at positions 362 to 1120 of the family's 1533-position model.